UUGCCCCGAGAUGAGUUCUCCCUGAGACUUUAGGUCUCCUGAAGGAACGUUGAAGACGACGACGUUGAUAGGCCGGGUGUGUAAGCGCAGCGAUGCGUUGAGCUAACCGGUACUAAUGAACCGUGAGGCUUAACCUUACAACGCCGAAG
This 149-nucleotide ribosomal RNA is filed under the name Salmonella enterica. Its description in RNAcentral is "partial 23S ribosomal RNA". It matches the Rfam family "Bacterial large subunit ribosomal RNA", at positions 2794 to 2925 of the family's 2925-position model. RNAcentral also lists the same sequence under 2 other names. The record is from RNAcentral. Lineage: Bacteria; Pseudomonadati; Pseudomonadota; Gammaproteobacteria; Enterobacterales; Enterobacteriaceae.